AAGAGUUUGAUCCUGGCUCAGGAUGAACGCUAGCGGCAGGCUUAACACAUGCAAGUCGAGGGGCAGCGCGAGUAGCAAUACUUGGCGGCGACCGGCGCAAGGGGGUAACGCGUAUGUAAUCUACCAUUAACCGGGGAAUAGCCCAGAGAAAUCUGGAUUAAUGCCCCAUAGUAUUAUCGAAAGGCAUCUUUUGAUAAUUAAAGCUCAGGCGGUUUUUGAUGAACAUGCGUGUCAUUAGUUUGUUGGUGAGGUAACGGCUCACCAAGACUACGAUGACUAGGGGGUCUGAGAGGAUGAUCCCCCACACUGGUACUGAGACACGGUCCAGACUCCUACGGGAGGCAGCAGUGAGGAAUAUUGGACAAUGGAUGGAAAUCUGAUCCAGCCAUGCCGCGUGCAGGAUGAAGGUCCUAUGGAUUGUAAACUGCUUUUGUAUGGGAGCAAUAAGGUCUUCGUGAAGACUGAUGAGAGUACCAUACGAAUAAGCAUCGGCUAACUCCGUGCCAGCAGCCGCGGUAAUACGGAGGAUGCAAGCGUUAUCCGGAUUUAUUGGGUUUAAAGGGUGCGUAGGCGGUGAUAUAAGUCAGCGGUGAAAGUUUUCAGCUCAACUGGAAAAAUGCCGUUGAUACUGAAAAGCUUGAGUACAUUUGAGGUAAGCGGAAUGUGUAGUGUAGCGGUGAAAUGCUUAGAUAUUACACAGAACACCAAUUGCGAAGGCAGCUUACUAAACUGAUACUGACGCUGAUGCACGAAAGCGUGGGGAGCGAACAGGAUUAGAUACCCUGGUAGUCCACGCCGUAAACGAUGCUCACUCGCUGUUUGCGAUACACAGCAAGCGGCCAAGCGAAAGCAUUAAGUGAGCCACCUGGGGAGUACGAUCGCAAGGUUGAAACUCAAAGGAAUUGACGGGGGCCCGCACAAGCGGAGGAACAUGUGGUUUAAUUCGAUGAUACGCGAGGAACCUUACCUGGGCUUAAAUGUAGAGCGACAGAUUGUGAAAGCAGUCCUUCUAGCAGGGCUGCUUACAAGGUGCUGCAUGGUUGUCGUCAGCUCGUGCCGUGAGGUGUCGGGUUAAGUCCCAUAACGAGCGCAACCCCUAUUAUUAGUUGCCAGCGGGUAAUGCCGGGGACUCUAAUAAGACUGCCAGUGUAAACCGUGAGGAAGGUGGGGAUGACGUCAAAUCAGCACGGCCCUUAUGUCCAGGGCUACACACGUGUUACAAUGGCCGAUACAAAGGGCAGCUACCAGGCGAGGGGGAGCGAAUCUUUAAAAUCGGUCUCAGUUCGGAUCGGAGUCUGCAACUCGACUCCGUGAAGUCGGAUUCGCUAGUAAUCGCGCAUCAGCCAUGGCGCGGUGAAUACGUUCCCGGGCCUUGUACACACCGCCCGUCAAGCCAUGGAAGUUGGGGGUGCCUAAAGUUCGUGACCGCAAGGAGCGACCUAGGGUAAAACCAAUGACUGGGGCUAAGUCGUAACAAGGUAACC
Molecule: ribosomal RNA, 1484 nt
Filed under: uncultured bacterium
Lineage: Bacteria
Description: bacterial SSU rRNA
Rfam family: Bacterial small subunit ribosomal RNA
Source: RNAcentral